CCUACGGGAGGCAGCAGUGGGGAAUAUUGGGCAAUGGGCGCAAGCCUGACCCAGCAACGCCGCGUGAAGGAAGAAGGCUUUCGGGUUGUAAACUUCUUUUCUGAUGGACGUAAAAAGUGACGGUACCUCAGCGAUAAGCCACGGCUAACUACGUGCCAGCAGCCGCGGUAAUACGUAGGUGGCAAGCGUUAUCCGGAUUUAUUGGGUGUAAAGGGCGUGUAGGCGGGCAAGCAAGUCAGAUGUGAAAACUCAGGGCUCAACCCUGAGCCUGCAUUUGAAACUGGUUUUCUUGAGUGCUGGAGAGGCAAUCGGAAUUCCGGGUGUAGCGGUGAAAUGCGUAGAUAUACGGAGGAACACCAGUGGCGAAGGCGGAUUGCUGGACAGUAACUGACGCUGAGGCGCGAAAGUGUGGGGAGCAAACAGGAUUAGAUACCCCUGUAGUC
RNAcentral lists this ribosomal RNA (443 nucleotides) under uncultured bacterium. RNAcentral describes it as "partial 16S ribosomal RNA". It matches the Rfam family "Bacterial small subunit ribosomal RNA", at positions 338 to 795 of the family's 1533-position model. The record is from RNAcentral.